This 78-nucleotide transfer RNA is filed under the name Marmota monax (woodchuck). Its description in RNAcentral is "tRNA.Ile". The record is from RNAcentral. Lineage: Eukaryota; Metazoa; Chordata; Mammalia; Rodentia; Sciuridae.
GGGGUUGUGGCUCAGAGGUAGAGCACUUGCUGCUUGCCUAAUAUGUUUGAGGUACCGAGUUCAAUCCUCGGCACCACA